Molecule: microRNA, 25 nt
Filed under: Bombyx mori (domestic silkworm)
Lineage: Eukaryota; Metazoa; Arthropoda; Insecta; Lepidoptera; Bombycidae
Description: bmo-miR-3362
Source: miRBase by way of RNAcentral
UGAUUUGAAGUUUAUGAAUGUUGUA